CAGGAAACUAAACAUAUAUUUAUCAUCAGAAUGCAACCUCAAAAGGUGUGACUCAUAAUGACGUUAAGGUCUAGAACCUUGGCAGACCAAAGAAUCUGCACUGCUCCUGAGAAAGCUGGCCAUAGAGAAGAAUAGGGAUGUGGGCCUGAGUGAGCUGUGACUCAUCCUGGGUGCACCUCUCCCAAUGCUGGGCACCCCUCUACAGGCUGAAGAAAUCUCCAACUUCCAUUCCAUCUUCUGAGAGUCCUGAGAGGCACAGCAUGGGGCUGGGGCUUUUCUUUGGAUUAUGUUGGGAUGUUUACCUUCAUCUUUUCGUUAUUCUCAUUUUUCAUAAGCCUCAAAUUACCUAGCUCGCUCACGUACUGAGCACGUUUGCAUGCUGUUACAUCCACUUCAACAGCUUAAUAAUGGCACAACAUUUCACCGGGUGUUGUCACCCGUGCCACCAACAAAGGGGUGAGUGU
RNAcentral lists this long non-coding RNA (464 nucleotides) under Rattus norvegicus (Norway rat). Its description in RNAcentral is "long non-coding RNA NONRATT031555". Lineage: Eukaryota; Metazoa; Chordata; Mammalia; Rodentia; Muridae. The record is from RNAcentral.